Molecule: long non-coding RNA, 521 nt
Organism: Ricinus communis (castor bean)
Lineage: Eukaryota; Viridiplantae; Streptophyta; Magnoliopsida; Malpighiales; Euphorbiaceae
Exons: 2
Source: RefSeq, a predicted model, not a curated record
AAAGGACCUGACUGCGCUGGAAAUGCUGCCCAAAAGCCUCCGGUAUCAGAAUUGGAGUCACCAAAGUUGAAGAUUGCCUCAAAUUCACACUUGGAGUGACUUAAACUAUUUAGCAUUGCCAUCAUCAUUAUGCAAAAUACUGGAUCAAAACUGGUCUGUCAUUUGAAAAAAGGAGGAGGUGAAGGGAGAGCAGUUCCAAAAGCAAAUAUAUUUAUAUCAUUGUUAAUUUUUGUGAUCACUUGCUGUUAUACAUAGUAACUGACACGUGGAUGUUGAUGAAGUGAAGCGGAUGCAGAUAACAUUCUCUUUGGCUAUUCUGAGCAGAGCACAUAUGUAGGAGAAAGAAGCGGUUUUCAUGGUCAUUUCCUUACCUAAAAGAUUAGCAAGUGAGAAAUUGUUACAUUAAUUUGAUCUAAAAUGUUAUCUAUAUACAGUGACUUGCGGCUAUGUAUAUUCUCUAAUUCAUAAUUUCUUCUACGAGUAAGAAGAGUUAUAUUAGGAAGUCACUUUAUCUUGAUUAA